This 379-nucleotide ribosomal RNA is filed under the name Volvox globator. RNAcentral's name for it is "SSU rRNA". It matches the Rfam family "Eukaryotic small subunit ribosomal RNA", at positions 585 to 972 of the family's 1831-position model. The record is from RNAcentral. RNAcentral also lists the same sequence under 1 other name. Lineage: Eukaryota; Viridiplantae; Chlorophyta; Chlorophyceae; Chlamydomonadales; Volvocaceae.
CCAGCUCCAAUAGCGUAUAUUUAAGUUGUUGCAGUUAAAAAGCUCGUAGUUGGAUUUCGGGUGAGGUGGUGCGGUCCGCCUUUGGUGAGUACUGCUUCGCUUCACCUUCCUGCCGGGGACGGGCUCCUGGGCUUAAGUGUCUGGGACUCGGAGUCGGCGAGGUUACUUUGAGUAAAUUAGAGUGUUCAAAGCAGGCCUACGCUCUGAAUACAUUAGCAUGGAAUAACACUAUAGGACUCUGGCCUUUGUGUUGGUCUGAGGGACUGGAGUAAUGAUUAAGAGGGGUGGUCGGGGGCAUUCGUAUUCCGUUGUCAGAGGUGAAAUUCUUGGAUUUACGGAAGACGAACAUCUGCGAAAGCAUUUGCCAAGGAUACUUUCA